This is a long non-coding RNA of Lagopus muta (rock ptarmigan), 3690 nucleotides long. RefSeq lists it as uncharacterized. The transcript is spliced from 4 exons. The record is from RefSeq and is a predicted model, not a curated record. NCBI's taxonomy places the organism in Eukaryota, Metazoa, Chordata, Aves, Galliformes, Phasianidae.
CAACGUGAGCUAAUGAACUGUAUUUUAACCACCUGAUGCUGGUCACAGCUUUCAUCUAUCAGGCUUAUGGGCUGCAUGGAGGAGGGGAGGUAGAGAGCUUUGGCACAUCUCAGUGCUACUGGAGCUGUUCAUCAGUCUGCUCUGCAGUCUACUGCAGAGUUUGCUUUAUUAAAGCUUCCUGCACAUAUUCACUGGCACAGACAUCGGGAGACAAGCAAACACUUAGCCGAGCGCAGAGUGCUUGCAGCUGCAUUGCAGUGUUUGCUGGCAACAAAGUGAUGGGGGUGCUUCAUGCUGCUCUUGGAAGAACCCUGGUUCAGCACAAAGUGCUCUGAGUGGUGGAGCCUCUGUGGUGAUACACAGCAGGUUGAAGGUGAAGGUCUUUGCUGAGGCUUUUCCUCUCCUCUGAGUCACCAAGUUCCUUCAGAAGCCACAGAACCAGGAAUUUCUGAUGUGGAAAGCGUUGGUUUCUUCUGCGACAAUAGUGAGAAGAAAUAGGAAGAUUUGACAACUGCAGGGGAGUUUCAGAAACAUUUACAGGCAAAAAACCUUGGAGGAUCACAUUGCUUCUCCAGUUGCUGGACACUUCCAAGUGGAAGGAGUGCAAAAUCCAAUUUUUCCCGUGCCAAUCUCAACCAUGCUCAACUUAUGCCUACAGAAGAAACUGAGCACAUUUUUGGGGUGGAUGUAAUAUGUCCCCAGCUGGCACAGCCAUAGUGGGGCUGCCAUUAGCUUCUGCACUGAUGGACACAUCAAGGGCACUGUGUGCCAUGUUCAGUCCAGAAUUGGAGUGGAUGUGAAGCUGAGGUGAAAGGGAUGAUAGAAAACUGCUCAGAAGUCAAGAGGAAUUUUGUAUUGUGUGAGCUUGAUUUGCUAAAUAUGCCCCCAGAUUUUAUUCUUCAUUCAAAAACAGGCUCUUUCCUGAAUAGAAAUCUAUCUAUUUGAAGUCUAAGUGACUUUGAGAUUAAACAACAAAUUAGGUUUCUGGAUUUUCAAAUUCUAUUUUAAUUGAAUGUUCUAGCCAUGCAGAAUGUAAAGAAACUGAAAAUGUCUGAUGCCAAAUGGCACACUUAUUAUUUGAAAUUUGAUGACUAAUUUGUCCUUAAUUUUAUCAAAUUAUACUAAGAGGUCUUUCUUUUACAAAACAUUACAAAGCAAUACUGAGGCCAGAGAGGUGCUAGAGAAAUCUUUUUUGUCAUUUGGAGCACUGUACAGAAUUGCGUGGGUUUAAACAAAAUGUAUCUUGAUGUUUUACCUUAAAACUCUCUGUCCUUUUUCUCAGUUCAGCUGAAUCCUAUGAAAUAGAUACGCAGCUUGGAGUUCUUCACACCCCCACAAAUGCUAAAAAUGGCCCUGAUACAACAUGUAUUUAUGUAACAAAAUCAUCUGCAUUAAUAUCUUCCUUUCCUUUCGGUGAGAAGAACAGGGGGGACUCAAGCUGACACAUUUCAGUGCAGCCCCUUCCGUUCUUCUCCUUGCAUUUGGGGCAGCAGGGACAAGCACUGCUCUCCCUUCAAAACCAGGGUUGUGAAUGAACAGGAACGUGACAUGAAUAUCAGUAGUGAGUUUGAAGGAAGAUUGUGGUCCAAGCUUUCAGAUUCUCUUCCCCCGAAUAUUUGGUUUCCUGUUACAAAUCAAAAUCACUGGCAACGAGGUUUCUGGCCAUUCUCAUGCUGAUGUGCCAAAAUAAAGAGGGCAUUUAAAAAAUAAAAUUUUCUCUACUCCUGCUGAAAAGCAGAGAGACUAGUUGGCUCAUGGGGUCAAGCAUGAUGUAUAGAGCUUUCCACCUCUUGUUUGCAUCUGGCGGUGAGAAAUGUUCUCAGUGAGAAAUGUUCCUGCUUGGCAGCUGGUUGGUGUCCUGUUUGUCACCAUCAUGUUCAGAUGAACUCUUGCUCUUUGGGUCACAGCCCAUCCCCAGCAGCGGGCAGCUCUGCAGCCAGGGACACUGAGCAUGGGGUGGGGUUUAUCUCGGCCCCUGGGGCUGUUCCCCUGGGCCAGGAUGGAGUCCUGCUAUUAGGAAGCAGAAGGAGAGUGAACAGUACGUGCUGCUGCUGGAGGUAGCUUUGGUAACCUUGCCGUGUUUAUCAUUACUAGAGGAUCUGGGGAAAUAAACAGCCUGUUUUUCAGAUGCAGGCUUAUAUACUGACUGCUCUCCCUGCUGCAUGCUGGCAGCUGUGGGUGCAGGCCAGAAUGCCUUCCUGUGGCCUGUCACAGGCCGUGUUAUCCCAAAGAGUGACCUCCUGAACCCAUCCAGCCAAUGCUCAACGCCCUGACCCGCUGCCUGUUGCCUGCUGUGGAAAUGAGUCCUAACCAGCAGCGAGGAUCAAACCAAUGUUCUUAGCAGCAGCUGUAAACUCGAUAAGCUGCCUGUCCUCCUUUCUCUCCCCCGGCCCUGUCCCUCCCUUUGGUGUUGAAAUGAAGGCAGAGACGUGCUGAGAGAAGCAGUGCAGCAUUCUGUUUGCAGGAUAAUAUGCCGACCACAUGUAUGUAUUAAAGGCUGCAUGGAGUUAUAAUGAGCCAGGAGCAUUUAAAUGCAAGCCAAGGGGAAUUUGCUAUUCUGCGUGGGCAGAUUUCAAUUGUAAGGUUGGCAGCUCUGGUAUCCUGUUCUCUAAUGCCAUGGGAUGAGAAAAAAUAGGCUUUUCUUUCAGAGCAGUUGAUUAUUGAAUCCACACCAGCUGUUCACCCUAAUCCAAGCUUUCUGUACUCACUCCUUGUAAUAGAGGCAUCCCUCAUCUGUCCGUCUGUCCAUCCCCCCAUUCUCAUUUUCAUGGCUCUUUUGUAAUCUUUCAGAAAGGUGGUGAGCAAAUAUCAGCCAUCUAAAGCAGCGUAAGCGUCAGCACCAGGCAAGGGUUGUAACUAAUUAACGAUAGAAGCACCCCCAGCCACAUAUUGAAACUCAAAUUAUAUUUCUUAUCUGCCGCAAGAUGGGAAAAAAAGCUGGCAUGAAUUAGAAGGCAGAGGACUGUUUUUUAGCAGCGACACCUGACUCUACAGCCAGCAAACUGUGAGAUCAGAGCUGGAGCGAGAGCUGUGCUGGUGCAGAGCUGCAGCCACCUCUCCUGCCCCACUGAGAGUCUGGGCACACACACCAGGCAUGCGGCAGUAGGAAAGGAAAAUAAUCUUUUUAUUUUUUUAAUAAUAAAGGGGGAGGAAAGUGUGAGAUAAGGAAUGAAUUCCUUCUGGGUGCUUCUCACUCAGCCUGCAACGUUAUGUAAGGCUGGCACAGCUCAUGCUUGCUUUGCUCCGCCAUCAGCCUGGCUGUUUCAUCCCCGCUACACAAUUAUUUCAUCAGUCUCUCCUACUAGACAUCACAGUACUGCUACAUUUAGUCACAUUUAUUAGGAUAUUGGCUAAAGUAAAAUUAGGAAGCGGGGGGGCCAUGUUACUCAGGGACUGGGAGAACACAGCUCCAGGCGGUCCCUCCCCCAGAGGCAUUCAAACACUCUGGAGGAGGAGGACACAGGGCAGGGGGGUGACACACAGGAGCCAGGAGAAAGCUGUGAAAGCAGCAGCAAAAAUGUUGUUUCCAGGAAGAGCUUUGGCAGAGCAGAGUGAACUUAAUUGGGAAUGAGUGGAAAUAACUGCAGUAGAGGAUAAAAGCAGUAGGAGAAGGGACAUUGUAGGGGAGAGUAGGGUAGAGGAAAAGGUAUGGCAAUCAGUGACAAGCUGAAGAACAGAAGCUGAUGAAGG